AANUGACGGUACCNUAUGAAUAAGCACCGGCUAACUCCGUGCCAGCAGCCGCGGUAAUACGGAGGGUGCAAGCGUUGUCCGGAUUUAUUGGGUUUAAAGGGUGCGUAGGCGGGUAAUUAAGUCAGUGGUGAAAGCCCACAGCUCAACUGUGGANGCGCCAUUGAUACUGGUUAUCUUGAGUGUAGUUGAGGCAGGCGGAAUUUACGAUGUAGCGGUGAAAUGCAUAGAUAUCGUAAAGAACACCUAUAGCGAAGGCAGCUUGCUAANCUANNACUGACGCUGAGGCACGAAAGCAUGGGGAGCGAACAGGAUUAGAUACCCUGGUAGUCCAUGCCGUAAACGAUGAUUACUCGAUGUUGGCGAUAUU
This 367-nucleotide ribosomal RNA is filed under the name uncultured Roseivirga sp. Its description in RNAcentral is "bacterial SSU rRNA". It matches the Rfam family "Bacterial small subunit ribosomal RNA", at positions 467 to 833 of the family's 1533-position model. The record is from RNAcentral. Lineage: Bacteria; Pseudomonadati; Bacteroidota; Cytophagia; Cytophagales; Roseivirgaceae.